Molecule: ribosomal RNA, 966 nt
Filed under: Salmonella enterica subsp. enterica serovar Poona
Lineage: Bacteria; Pseudomonadati; Pseudomonadota; Gammaproteobacteria; Enterobacterales; Enterobacteriaceae
Description: partial 23S ribosomal RNA
Rfam family: Bacterial large subunit ribosomal RNA
Source: RNAcentral
GCCGCAGGGAAACCGAGUCUUAACCGGGCGUUAAGUUGCAGGGUAUAGACCCGAAACCCGGUGAUCUAGCCAUGGGCAGGUUGAAGGUUGGGUAACACUAACUGGAGGACCGAACCGACUAAUGUUGAAAAAUUAGCGGAUGACCUGUGGCUGGGGGUGAAAGGCCAAUCAAACCGGGAGAUAGCUGGUUCUCCCCGAAAGCUAUUUAGGUAGCGCCUCGUGAAUUCAUCUCCGGGGGUAGAGCACUGUUUCGGCUAGGGGGCCAUCCCGGCUUACCAACCCGAUGCAAACUGCGAAUACCGGAGAAUGUUAUCACGGGAGACACACGGCGGGUGCUAACGUCCGUCGUGAAGAGGGAAACAACCCAGACCGCCAGCUAAGGUCCCAAAGUCAUGGUUAAGUGGGAAACGAUGUGGGAAGGCCCAGACAGCCAGGAUGUUGGCUUAGAAGCAGCCAUCAUUUAAAGAAAGCGUAAUAGCUCACUGGUCGAGUCGGCCUGCGCGGAAGAUGUAACGGGGCUAAACCAUGCACCGAAGCUGCGGCAGCGAACGUAUCACCCAAGACAACUUUACGGAGUUAACGAUUGACGGAGCGAAGCGACGUCAAAGCGUUCAUUAAAGUCGAGUUGGCUUAGGGAUACGUUCGUUGGGUAGGGGAGCGUUCUGUAAGCCUGUGAAGGUGGCCUGUGAGGGUUGCUGGAGGUAUCAGAAGUGCGAAUGCUGACAUAAGUAACGAUAAAGCGGGUGAAAAGCCCGCUCGCCGGAAGACCAAGGGUUCCUGUCCAACGUUAAUCGGGGCAGGGUGAGUCGACCCCUAAGGCGAGGCCGAAAGGCGUAGUCGAUGGGAAACGGGUUAAUAUUCCCGUACUUGGUGUUACUGCGAAGGGGGGACGGAGAAGGCUAUGUUGGCCGGGCGACGGUUGUCCCGGUUUAAGCGUGUAGGUGUGUGUUCCAGGUAAAUCCGGUU